CUCGGAGUGGUCUAGUUGGUUCAUGGCGUUCGACUGUAAUUGCUUAACAAAUUGUCAUCGAAAAGUCGGCGGUUCGACUCCGUCCUCUGAGA
This 92-nucleotide transfer RNA is filed under the name Cordyceps javanica. Its description in RNAcentral is "Isaria javanica tRNA". It matches the Rfam family "tRNA". Rfam says of the family: Transfer RNA (tRNA) molecules are approximately 80 nucleotides in length. The record is from Rfam by way of RNAcentral. Lineage: Eukaryota; Fungi; Ascomycota; Sordariomycetes; Hypocreales; Cordycipitaceae.